RNAcentral lists this ribosomal RNA (604 nucleotides) under Vibrio alginolyticus. RNAcentral's name for it is "bacterial SSU rRNA". It matches the Rfam family "Bacterial small subunit ribosomal RNA", at positions 68 to 677 of the family's 1533-position model. Lineage: Bacteria; Pseudomonadati; Pseudomonadota; Gammaproteobacteria; Vibrionales; Vibrionaceae. The record is from RNAcentral.
GGAACGAUAACGGCGUCGAGCGGCGGACGGGUGAGUAAUGCCUAGGAAAUUGCCCUGAUGUGGGGGAUAACCAUUGGAAACGAUGGCUAAUACCGCAUAAUGCCUACGGGCCAAAGAGGGGGACCUUCGGGCCUCUCGCGUCAGGAUAUGCCUAGGUGGGAUUAGCUAGUUGGUGAGGUAAGGGCUCACCAAGGCGACGAUCCCUAGCUGGUCUGAGAGGAUGAUCAGCCACACUGGAACUGAGACACGGUCCAGACUCCUACGGGAGGCAGCAGUGGGGAAUAUUGCACAAUGGGCGCAAGCCUGAUGCAGCCAUGCCGCGUGUGUGAAGAAGGCCUUCGGGUUGUAAAGCACUUUCAGUCGUGAGGAAGGUAGUGUAGUUAAUAGCUGCAUUAUUUGACGUUAGCGACAGAAGAAGCACCGGCUAACUCCGUGCCAGCAGCCGCGGUAAUACGGAGGGUGCGAGCGUUAAUCGGAAUUACUGGGCGUAGAGCGCAUGCAGGUGGUUUGUUAAGUCAGAUGUGAAAGCCCGGGGCUCAACCUCGGAAUUGCAUUUGAAACUGGCAGACUAGAGUACUGUAGAGGGGGGUAGAAUUUCAGUGUA